AUGCCUAGAUUUCAACCAGAGAAUAUUGACAAGAAUACUAAGAUAUUCGAGCGUGUGAACGCAAUGGCAGCAAAAAGAGGAUGCACGCCAUCACAACUAGCAUUGGCUUGGGUUCACCAUCAGGGAAACGAUGUUUGCCCCAUACCUGGCACAACAAAAAUCGAGAACUUCAACCAGAAUGUGGGGGCACUGUCUGUGAAGUUGACACCAGAUGAGAUGGCUGAACUCGAGUCGUAUGCUGCUACAGGUGAAGUCUUGGGUGACCGUUAUGCUGAAACUACCAACACCUGGAAGGACUCCGAGACCCCGCCAUUGUCUUCUUGGAAAUCUGAGUAGCCAAUCUGGUAUCUUCAACUCUAUCACGGUCACAUUGCUGUAUCUCCAAACUGUCGGACUGCAGAAGAUGCUCAGGUGCACUUUGGAAAAGCAUCCAUAUGAUGCUUGCCUUAUUGCGAGCUAUGAAUUUGGUACUUAGUGUGUAUUGCAUGCCUCGUUUCGUAUCAAGAGUAUUUACCAUGAGUAUAGAUUAAAGGUUAAAAGCACUGGUUCGAUGAAUGACCAUGUGCAUUUGUAUCAAGAGUAUUUAGCAUGACUAGCAAACUGAAUUUUGUAAUAGUUGUAAAAAAAAAUGUGAUUGUAAAAUGUACUAGAUGUGGUACGCUCAUGCAAACAUAACUAUAGGCAAUUACUAUUGUAUACUCCAUCGGUCGGCGCAUGAGCUCCUUUCCAUUCAUGUUCGCUUAGCUGGUAGAAAGUUUUUGUUCGCUGAUUUGUUAUAAGAGAAAACAUUGCUCAAUAAUAGAUAAAUUUGGCUGAUAAGCUCAAACGAACAUGCUAUUUUGGUUCUUUACAACCAUGCUUCGGUCAAUGCUUCUGGGAUGGUAAUUAGGGCAUAGAAAAUCAUUGGUCACCUUGCAUUUACUAAAAAAAAUUGUCACAUGCUUUCUUUCAUUAUUCUUCUAUACUAUAUAAAUACUUUUGGGGUUAUAUUUAGCAUUAUUCUUCUAGAAGCUUCCAAAAGUUAUAUUUAGCUCUAGGAAAAUGGGGACAUAUAUAUCGAAAAAAAAUCCCAAAACAUUCUGAAAAAUGAAUAACACAUUUUAAAAAGAGUAAAAUACACUGGCGGCCCUUUAACUUGUCAGCAUGUGCCACUUUGGUCCAUGAACUUGCAAACCCGAAAAAGUGACCCCUGAACUUGUCCACCUGUGCCACUUUGGUCCAUGAAGUUGCAAACCCGAAAAAGUGACCUCUGAACUUGUCCACCUGUGUCACUUUGGUCCAUGAACUUGCAAACGCGAAAAAGUGUCUCCUAAACUUGUCGACCUGUGCCAUCUUAGAAAAAAUAUCCUCUAAACUUGUCGACCUGUGCCACCUUGGUCCAUGAACAUGCAAAUACAAAAAUAACACCAGCUGCAUGGCACUGUUCUGCCACGUGGCCGCCUCUGGUAGGCCAUGCAUGGCACCGUUUAUGGUGUUGACAUCAGUGAUAAUGGCAGCACUUCUUUUUUAAUUUACGAAAUUGAUAUAUUUUUAUUCAUAGCGUCAAAUAUAUCAAAUAAUAUAUCAGUUUGUUGCAUUUAUUAAUUAAAAGAGAUAAUUUUAAAACAAGCAAAAAUUAUUCGUUUUCUAGGUUUUAUAUUUUUCCUAGGCAGAGUACAUCAUGAAGAGGCUACACAAAAUAUUUCAUGAAUUUAGCAUUUCACUAAUAAUUAGUUAUGAAAUAAACAAAUAUUUGUUGACGCGUUGAAAGAGCCUUUACAUGCAUUGACCAAAGUGGCACAGGCCGACAAGUUCAAAGGCCACUGUUUUGCGUUUGCAAAGUUCAUGGACCAAAGUGGCACAGGCGGACAAGUUCAGGGGUCAGUUUUUCGGGUUUACAAGUUCAUGAACCAAAGUGGCAUAGGCUGACAAUUUAAAGGGCCGCCAGUGUAUUUUACUCUUUUAAAAACUUCUCCUAAUAAAAACACGAGAUGCGUCCAACAUGGAUGAGAUCAACAUUAACGUAUGUUGCAAUCAUGUUGGCUGUAUCCCAUAUUUUAGUUGUAGAAAGUUUUCAAAACACAUUAGACAUUGAUUAGAAUGAGAUCAGGAAGACAAUUUUCUUUUUCUUUUGGAGUUCAAAGGCCUUGUUUAGUUUGCAAAAAAUUCAGUUUUCAGCUACUGUAGCACUUUCGUUUUUAUUUAACAAAUAUUAUCCAAUCAUGGAGUAACUAGGCUCAAAAUAUUUAUCUCACAAAUUACAGAUAAACUGUGCAAUUAGUUUUUAUUUUCAUCUAUAUUUAAUGCUCCAUGCAUACGAUCAAAGAUUCGAUGUGACGGAUAAUCUUGAAAACUUUUGCGAACUAAACGAGGCCAGAAAUCUAAAGUCUGAUGAUAGUCAGAGAUUUUUUCUUAAAAAAAAGACCCUUUUGUUCUUAUUUGAAACUGCAACUGACAUCAGCUCUUACUACAUGUAUAUAGGCUCACAUGUGCAGUGACGUCAUGACAUCCAAUCCACUGGCCGCUGGCACAGAGGGCCUCUCACUCUUUAUAGCCACGGCCGAGCGGCAGGCCACCGCAUCACCCCCUCACCACCGAAGGCACCAACCACCCGAGAGCAUCGACGGCCGACGAGCAUCUUCCAGCACCUGCCAUGGCUGCCGCUUCCGUGUCCGUCCCCCGCAUCAAGCUGGGCUCGCAGGGGCUCGAAGUCUCCGCGCAGGGCCUUGGCUGCAUGGGCAUGUCCGCCUUCUACGGUCCGCCCAAGGCCGAGCCGGACAUGAUCAAGCUCAUCCACCACGCCGUCGCCGCCGGGGUCACCCUCCUCGACACCUCCGACAUCUACGGCCCGCACACCAACGAGAUCCUGCUGGGCAAGGUCGGUCCGCUCGAGUCUUAGAUCCCUGUUGUUGUCGAUUUCUUCGGCUUUGUUUUUUCAGUUUGCACUGAAGAUGUUCGAUGUAAUGCUUCUGAUUUCUGAGAAGGCGCUUCAAGGCGGGGUAAGGGAAAAGGUGGAGCUGGCCACCAAGUUUGGCCUCUCCUUCGCCGACGGUAAGCGGGAGAUCCGCGGUGACCCAGCAUACGUGCGGGCAGCGUGCGAGGGCAGCCUCAAGCGGCUCGGCGUCGACUGCAUUGACCUCUACUACCAGCACCGCAUCGACAAGAAGGUGCCGAUCGAGGUCACGGUGAGUGCAGUGUAUCUUCCCCACUGGAUUCCUUUGUUUGGUAGCUGUGGCCUGUCAGUCUGUCACCAAUGGAUGGUCGAUGUGAACAUACAAGUGGAAGCUGGAAAUGCCGGCCGGGGCAUAUUCUUCCAUGACAGUUAGUGGUGGUGGUUGGUGGAGACAGGUUUGUUGGAGGUUGGUGUCUACAACGUAUGAGUGGUUAUACUAACAUAAGGGCCCUUGUGUAAAUUUGGCAAAGAUGCCGUGCUGGCAUAUGACGCAAGGUUUCUUUUAUGUAAUCUCAAUCACCAUCCUGAAGUUAACGAAACAAAAGAAACCUCAUUUUGGAUCCAUCUUAUCUCUUGUGAGAAGGGUGUGUCUAGCAGACCUCCCUCCCACCCUGUUUAGCAGAGCUCAAACCCCAAGAACUGCUGAGGAUGAAAACUAAUCAGAUGUAGACACACCUCUUUCUUGCAGGAACUUGUAGGAGUUUUCUGAGGUACAAUUACAUAUACCAGCAACUGGAUCAAUCAUAUCAGAUGCUGUACCCAUGCCUUGGCAAACACUAGCUGCUAUCAUUUUUGGCCCAUUCAUAUUUAUAUUACUGUCAGUUCAGUAGUUCACAUAUGUUGUUUAUAGUUUUCCUUUCUCUCACAAUCCACACUGCACCUUGUAAGCCAUGAACUAUUUCCUUUUAGAUAAUUGAGUUUGUUUCUUUUUCUGUUGCUAGAUUGGUGAACUCAAGAAGCUAGUGGAAGAAGGAAAGAUAAAGUACAUUGGGUUAUCUGAAGCAUCUGCGUCAACAAUCCGGAGAGCUCAUGCAGUCCAUCCUAUCACUGCAGUACAGAUUGAAUGGUCAUUAUGGUCUAGAGAUGUGGAAGAAGAUAUAAUUCCCACUUGCAGGUACUUUCAUGAACAGCCAAACACUAGGGUUGUGAAGUCAAUAAGUAGGAAGCUUAUUUCUGAAUCACCACCUUUCUGUGACUAUUUCAGAGAACUUGGAAUUGGAAUUGUAGCUUACAGUCCACUAGGAAGAGGGUUUUUGUGCAGUGGAGCAAAACUAGUUGACUCACUGUCGGAGCAGGACUUCCGCAAGGUAAACUAAAAACUUUUUUUUCUCAAACACGCAGGAGAGCUGCGUAUCAUUAUAUUGAGAAGAAAAAAGGGUAACACAACCACAAACAAAAGUAAACACCAGCACCAACACACACCACACACGCCACUCUAAUGUAUGCAUAAUACUUGGUUCAGCUGUCCUUAAUUUUAAACAUUCCGUUGAUCUUAGAUACAUUUUUGGAUUCUGCUCAUGUAUUUGAUAUAUACAAGGGUCCCAUCCAAAUUGCUUGAAGAAAAAAGAAUAAGAAAUAAUUGUGUAUUGCCUCUUUGUAACAAGGAUUUCAAACUUCUGCAGCAUAUGCCUAGAUUUCAACCGGAGAAUAUUGACAAGAAUGCUAAGAUAUUCGAGCAUGUGAACGCAAUGGCAGCUAAAAAAGGAUGCACACCAUCACAACUAGCAUUGGCUUGGGUUCACCAUCAGGGAAAUGAUGUUUGCCCCAUACCUGGCACAACAAAAAUUGAGAACUUCAACCAGAACGUGGGGGCAUUGUCUGUGAAGUUGACACCAGAUGAGAUGGCCGAACUUGAGUCGUAUGCUGCUGCAGGUGAAGUCUUGGGUGACCGUUAUCCUCAAAUGGCCAACACCUGGAAGGACUCUGAGACCCCGCCAUUGUCUUCUUGGAAAUCUGAGUAGCCAAUCUG
Molecule: long non-coding RNA, 4901 nt
Filed under: Sorghum bicolor (sorghum)
Lineage: Eukaryota; Viridiplantae; Streptophyta; Magnoliopsida; Poales; Poaceae
Description: long non-coding RNA (SBIC_LNC016857)
Source: RNAcentral